Molecule: non-coding RNA, 216 nt
Organism: Cinara cedri
Lineage: Eukaryota; Metazoa; Arthropoda; Insecta; Hemiptera; Aphididae
Source: the annotation of a GenBank genome assembly
UCUUCGGUAUAUUGGAAAUGCGGGGGGGAUCGAUUCUCUCAUUAGGGAGAGACCGAGUGCACGACUAGUUGCUGCUUCUGCUUCUACUGCUGUUGCUCUUUGUCGAGACCGACCGGACACGGUUACUAUAACAUAGCUAAAGCGGUGUAUACAAUACCCGCGACCGAUGUCGAUUCGAUGCCAAAGACUAUAAUAUCGUGUUAAUAUCGUCAGAGU